Molecule: ribosomal RNA, 234 nt
Filed under: uncultured eukaryote
Lineage: Eukaryota
Description: partial 18S ribosomal RNA
Rfam family: Eukaryotic small subunit ribosomal RNA
Source: RNAcentral
CGUAGUUGGAUUUCUGCUGAGGACGACCGGUCCGCCCUCUGGGUGAGUAUCUGGCUCGGCCUUGGCAUCUUCUUGGGGAACGUAACUGCACUUGACUGUGUGGUGCGGUAUCCAGGACUUUUACUUUGAGGAAAUUAGAGUGUUUCAAGCAGGCUUACGCCUUGAAUAUAUUAGCAUGGAAUAAUAAGAUAGGACUUUGAGUCUAUUUUGUUGGUUUGCGAGUCAAAGUAAUGA